Molecule: non-coding RNA, 95 nt
Organism: Mycena rebaudengoi
Lineage: Eukaryota; Fungi; Basidiomycota; Agaricomycetes; Agaricales; Mycenaceae
Source: the annotation of a GenBank genome assembly
GACCCAGUGAUCUAGUGGUUAGGACACCUGGCUGCAGUUCCGAAGAAGAGUAAUUUGCUGUGUGGGAGAUCCCUGUUCAAUUCAGGGCCGGGUCA